RNAcentral lists this ribosomal RNA (460 nucleotides) under uncultured bacterium. Its description in RNAcentral is "partial 16S ribosomal RNA". It matches the Rfam family "Bacterial small subunit ribosomal RNA", at positions 338 to 795 of the family's 1533-position model. The record is from RNAcentral.
CCUACGGGAGGCAGCAGUGAGGAAUAUUGGUCAAUGGGCGGAAGCCUGAACCAGCCAAGUCGCGUGAGGGAUUAAGGCCCUGCGGGUCGUAAACCUCUUUUUCCGGGGAGCAGUAGUCCGGACGCGUCCGGACCGGGAGAGUACCCGGAGAAAAAGCAUCAGCUAACUCCGUGCCAGCAGCCGCGGUAAUACGGAGGAUACGAGCUUUAUCCGGAUUUAUUGGUUUUAAAGGGUGCGUAGGCGGGCAUUUAAGCCGGCGGUAAAAUGUCGGGGCUGAAACGCGGCCUGCCGUCGAAACUGGGUGGCUUGAGUGGGCGAGAAGUAUGCGGAAUGCGUGGUGUAGCGGUGAAAUGCUUAGAUAUCACGAAGAACUCCGAUUGCGAAGGCAGCUUACUAAACUGCCACUGACAUUGAUGCUCGAAAGUGUGGGUAUCAAACAGGAUUAGAUACCCUAGUAGUC